Exaiptasia diaphana is the source of this 1700-nucleotide long non-coding RNA. RefSeq lists it as uncharacterized. The transcript is spliced from 4 exons. The record is from RefSeq and is a predicted model, not a curated record. NCBI's taxonomy places the organism in Eukaryota, Metazoa, Cnidaria, Anthozoa, Actiniaria, Aiptasiidae.
AGCAAAACACGGAGGAAAGUGCUGAAAAAUGCUUUCUUUUACACACUUCAAAGCUAAAAGAAAGCUAAAAAUCACUCGAAGAGUAGAUCUAAAUGAUUAAUGAACAUUUUGAGGCCUUAAAAAGGCUUGCAAGAAGUAUACAUGUACAUAAUAUUGUGUGCUAGACAUGCAAUUGUACAAAGAAUACAGCACAACCUUCCAUAUGCACCACUGAUAUGCACAGUAAAACCAUGUUAAUAAUGGCUGACCAUGACAUACCACAGUAUGAUGUGAAUACUACAGUCAGCCAAGGGAACUAUUGCAAUGAUAUUCAGCUUGACAGCAAUCAUGAUACCAUUGAUGUGAUAUGUUAGUCUCACUAACACCAUGUCAAGCUACAGCCAUCAACCAAGUGGCAGACCUAUACCAUAGUCUGCCAAACCGAAAAACCUUCCUGGAAGCUCUGAAGGAUGCUAAAUUACAAUACCAAAGAAAAUGAACAAGAGAGGAGAGAAAAAAGAGCGGAAAGAAAAAAUGAGAGAAAUGGAGUGCAGUUAUCAUUCUAGGUUUCAAUAAGACUGCACUCCAAAAAACAAAAACUUAGAUUUUUUUUUGGCUGGGGAGCUGACUACUUUUUAUAGAAUAAGUUUCUGGCUUAUGACAAGCCUUUGUUUUGCUGCUAGAGUAGACAAUUUUAAGACCUAUAGUAAAGUAAAGAAAAAGGUCUUUGGUCAGUUCCCCAGCCCAGAGCAGUAGAUACAAGAGAGUGUCCGUCUAUAGAUGUUUUUAUAGGGUUAUGGAUUUUUUAAUGCCUUGUCAAUUUCAAUAUAUUGUCCAAGCUUCAAGAAGUGCUUUCAGAGAGUACAGGUUAAUAGCAUCCUCAAAGAUUUUGAAGUGAUUCUCAGGACACUCUCUUGUAUCUAMUGCUCUUGUUUGCAAAAGUCAAUAAACUUCAUGCCUCCCACGAGGCCCUGCCAGCACCAAAAGAGAAGCCACCCCACAUGCAGGCCAGAAAAUCUUAACRAUAGUCUCGCUGCCCUGACUAGAGCCAAGUUAUAAGGCCAAGACCAGCAAACUUUAGRCUGCCCUGAUACUGGAGACUGACUGUAUGGAUGUCAGACCUCCACCCACUGCAGACUCCAGGGAGGAACUCUGCUGUCACUCAAGUCAGAAAAUAAGGUGAGGGUCAGUGCAAAUGUGAGUCUUGGGUAAUCCCACCCCACCACCCACUGAAUGUGCAUGUCGGCGAUGUAUUGGGUGAUCAGUAAGCUUGAAGUGAUGCUUCAUUCAGACUUCUCCAAACUAAGUGAUUAUCGAUCUGACAUGGAAGACUAAAAAUCAUUUUUUCUGGGAUAAUAUUGUGGGUUGAAAUGUUGUUGGCGACUGAUAAAAUGRCCUCUACCACAGAUUGUAAUUUAAUUGAWGUUUUUUCACCAGCAAAGUGAAGACCUCAGAUCCUUAAACCUUUAAAUUUAACCUGGAAAAGUAAACUGCAAACAAAGAUAUAAACAACACUCCUUUAUGAGAAAAACAGUGCAAAAUGUUUGAAAGUAUCACUGAAAAAGAAAAACAAGAAAUUAUGAAACUGUCACCUUGUCAAAUUAUCAAAUAAAAAAGGCAAACUUAGAAUACUCUAUUAGUCCGAUGAUAUUACACUGUGAAAUCGCAGAACAGCRUUUGUUGAAAAAUUGGUUCACCAUAAUAUAUGAGUCAUUAUCGGA